RNAcentral lists this ribosomal RNA (465 nucleotides) under uncultured bacterium. RNAcentral's name for it is "partial 16S ribosomal RNA". It matches the Rfam family "Bacterial small subunit ribosomal RNA", at positions 28 to 507 of the family's 1533-position model. The record is from RNAcentral.
GACGAACGCUGGCGGCGUGCUUAACACAUGCAAGUCGAACGGAAAGGCCCUGCUUGCAGGGUACUCGAGUGGCGAACGGGUGAGUAACACGUGGGUGAUCUGCCCUGCACUUCGGGAUAAGCCUGGGAAACUGGGUCUAAUACCGGAUAGGAGCCAUUUUUAGUGUGAUGGUUGGAAAGUUUUUUCGGUGUAGGAUGAGCUCGCGGCCUAUCAGCUUGUUGGUGGGGUAAUGGCCUACCAAGGCGGCGACGGGUAGCCGGCCUGAGAGGGUGGACGGCCACAUUGGGACUGAGGUACGGCCCAGACUCCUACGGGAGGCAGCAGUGGGGAAUAUUGCACAAUGGGCGCAAGCCUGAUGCAGCGACGCCGCGUGGGGGAUGACGGCCUUCGGGUUGUAAACUCCUUUCGCUAGGGACGAAGCUUUUUGUGACGGUACCUAGAGAAGAAGCACCGGCUAACUACGUG